This 467-nucleotide ribosomal RNA is filed under the name uncultured bacterium. Its description in RNAcentral is "partial 16S ribosomal RNA". It matches the Rfam family "Bacterial small subunit ribosomal RNA", at positions 29 to 507 of the family's 1533-position model. The record is from RNAcentral.
ACGAACGCUGGCGGCGUGCUUAACACAUGCAAGUCGAACGGAAAGGCCCUGCUUUUGUGGGGUGCUCGAGUGGCGAACGGGUGAGUAACACGUGAGUAACCUGCCCAUGACUUUGGGAUAACUUCAGGAAACUGGGGCUAAUACCGGAUAGGAGCUCCUGCUGCAUGGUGGGGGUUGGAAAGUUUCGGCGGUUGGGGAUGGACUCGCGGCGUAUCAGCUUGUUGGUGGGGUAGUGGCUUACCAAGGCUUUGACGGGUAGCCGGCCUGAGAGGGUGACCGGCCACAUUGGGACUGAGAUACGGCCCAGACUCCUACGGGAGGCAGCAGUGGGGAAUAUUGCACAAUGGGCGGAAGCCUGAUGCAGCAACGCCGCGUGCGGGAUGACGGCCUUCGGGUUGUAAACCGCUUUCGCCUGUGACGAAGCGUGAGUGACGGUAAUGGGUAAAGAAGCACCGGCUAACUACGUG